Podarcis lilfordi (Lilford's wall lizard) is the source of this 1832-nucleotide non-coding RNA. NCBI's taxonomy places the organism in Eukaryota, Metazoa, Chordata, Lepidosauria, Squamata, Lacertidae. The record is from the annotation of a GenBank genome assembly.
AAUUCAUGCUAGGCAAUUCCCCGUUUCAUCACAUUCCUAUAUCAUUACAACCAUCUCAGGGCACAGGCCUGUGAGCAAUUGCCCACUGUCGCUCAGUGACCAGAUUUCGAUUUGUGAAGAAUUACGUAUUCUUUCUGGCAGCAUGUGUGGAAUGUCAGCCAUGACGGAAGCAAAGAUUCCUGGGUAACUGGUUUUGACAACAGAUGACUUCCCUUCCAGGGCUAUGUUGAGAGUCAUUCGUAGGAUUUACUGUGGACUUGCUUUCGGUAGAGAAACAACCAAAAAAGCUGGAAAGCAAAACUGCAGACUUUAAUUGAUUAAAUUAGUAGAUUAGAUUAAUCAACUAAAGUUUUAGUUGAUUAAUUAAUGAAAGUCCAUUUUAAUCAUCAUGGCUGCAAGUUAAAAGCAUUGCUGUUUAUUUUUUUGAAGCUAUUGGUUCUGCAGUAAUAAAGAAUGAAAAAGAAGGUAUUUGAGGUGUCUUACAUUCUAAUAAGGAAUUUUAGCUUUUGCUUAUUAAAUUAUUAGUUAUCUUCCUUCAGAACCUAAAAAAUGCAACUACAGUAUAUUGAGAUGUAUUAAAAUUAAUGGAUCAAGAAUAUAAAAGGAAGAUUAUUAAUUAAAAACUAUUGAAUCUUAAAAAAAUUAUUGAAUAUUAGAGAGUAAUCCAUUAACUUGUAUUUUUAAUGUUAAAGAGCAACUCUUAGCUGUGAUAGUACCUGACUCAUAGUGGACAUGUUGGCCACAAAGGAUUGUGGGAAGCUAUGACCCGGCAUUCUGGGUCAUUUGCUGGCCUUGAAUCAAUACCCCUUUAUGAGUGUGUUUCAGUAAUUUGCUGCUCUAGUGUCUGUGUACGAAGUGCACCCUAGGAGUAAUUGUUCUAGCAGCUGAUCUUCAGCACCUUUAAUCAUCUGGGCCUGAUUCACAUACACACACAUUAAUAUGGAAGCUGCUUACAAGUCCAGUUCCAGCGUGCAAAAAAGAUUGACUAUUAUCUGAAGUUUCUGGUUGGAUAAGGAUUCCAUUUCCUCUGUGUUGUUGCUGAAUAAAUAACACAAGUUGGAGAACUCUACGCUGGUGUUACGGAAGUGUGGUAUACUGAACAUAUAUUGUACUCAAAUACUUAACACUGUUUGGGAAUUUGUUAGCAACUUAGACUCACUCUUUGGUGCUCAAUACCAUGAUUUCCACCCUACUUUUUAAAGCAUACUUGUGGGUACAGUGGAGAUUCUAAUAUGUUUUAGUGACAAUGAGUGUGGAAUGAGUGGUUGGUAGUUACUCUGGAUAACAAAGAUCACAAGAUUAUGAUCUUGUAUGCAUCUUCUCAUCUAAUCUAGGCCAGUAAAUCUCUUACUAUUUUUCAACAAUCCAACACCCCCCCCCCACUUGCAUCUGGCUAUCAUUGCUCUUGUAUGUACAGCCACGAAAGUAAUUAGCUAGCCUGCCUGCAUAUAUCUAAGUUGGCCUAGAAUAUUUUUUUUUUUAAAAUGCUUUUGUAAGAUGCCUUGAUCGCUUGAAGGCACUUCUGACUCGCCACAGGCGACCAGCUGAGCAGCUUUUUACCAGCUUGAGUUAAACCACUCCCCCUCCCCCCGCCCUGAAUAAUGCAUCUUAAUAGAACUGACUCCUUUCUAUACAAGAAAAUUAAGGGAUGUUCUCUCUGCCUCUCUCUUAAUUUCUCAUUUGAAUAACUCUGACUUACAACCAGAUGGAGAGGAAAAGAUAGGCACCUGCUCCAUGAAGGCAAAGGCACACAGUGAACUGCACAAAGGCAGACACAUGUUUCCACGGACACACACAGCACAUGGCUACACAGGCGAGGAAGAGAAAGGCAG